UAGGGGGCAAGCGUUAUCCGGAUUUACUGGGUGUAAAGGGAGCGUAGACGGCCACGCAAGUCUGAAGUGAAAUGCCAGUGCCCAACACUGGAACUGCUUUGUAAACUGUGAGGCUGGAGUGCAGGAGAGGUAAGGGGAAUUCCUAGUGUAGCGGUGAAAUGCGUAGAUAUUAGGAGGAACACCAGUGGCGAAGGCGGCUUACUGGACUGUAACUGACGUUGAGGCUCGAAGGCGUGGGGAGCAAA
This 245-nucleotide ribosomal RNA is filed under the name uncultured bacterium. RNAcentral's name for it is "partial 16S ribosomal RNA". It matches the Rfam family "Bacterial small subunit ribosomal RNA", at positions 528 to 772 of the family's 1533-position model. The record is from RNAcentral.